RNAcentral lists this long non-coding RNA (26671 nucleotides) under Triticum aestivum (bread wheat). RNAcentral's name for it is "long non-coding RNA (TAES_LNC021356)". The record is from RNAcentral. Lineage: Eukaryota; Viridiplantae; Streptophyta; Magnoliopsida; Poales; Poaceae.
CUCAACACAUUAUUUUAUUGAUGAUUCGAUCAGUAAUCUGCUCGAUCUGUAAUAAGGGCAACAGAUGGAGGUCAAACACAUGCAGAAAGCAGCAACGAAGAACACAUGCAGAAAGCAGCAACACUAGACAACCCCAGCCGGCUAGCUAUCCGUAGCCUGGUGUGAUGAUGCUGAUAGAAACUUAGUGAAGCCUGCAAACAUACACAGACAAAAGCUCAACGGUUAGUCUCACUAUUUACUUACAAAUUAGGGUAUCUUUAAUGGUUGUAAGAUAGUUGUUGGUAGACUUUGACAUAUAUAAUUUUUGAUGAUGUGUCAUGCAAUAAAUGAGGAAAGAGGAAAAUGUUGUAUGUACAUAAACCAACACCCCUUACACAAGCUCCAAUGUAGAAUGAGAGAGCACUUUAUUUAUUAUCUCACAUCCUAUUGAGCAAACUAGAUACAAUCCAACGAAGUUGUUGUAUGUUAAAAUGUUGAUUGAUGACAUGACAUAUUUUAUCAACAAGCUAACAUACAAACAGUUGAGGAUGUUUUUAAAGAGUAAAUGACAAAUGGGUACGCCUAGGACAUGCACGGUGCGAUCGCGGACGCCACGUCGCCGCAGGUCACCACCGUUCUGGCGUAGGUGUUCUUGCAGCAUUGCAUUGCAGGGUGGCGGACGGUGGUGAGUGCAUGCACGUGUUCAUGCAGGUGCGUCGUACGUAGCUACUGGGGCAUGCAUAUGAUGCGAAAACUUCUGCAUCUGCAUCAGUGGCGAAUCUAAAAAAAAAUGAAGGGCGGGCUGGGCUGUCUGGGUCAUGCAAAUAUGUGUUGGAUUGGGCCUGCAAGUAGUUGGACUGGGCCUUAAAACUAGUAGUAGAAACAAAUUUUACAGUGCUGAAGGGGAGGCUUGUGUUGGUAAUAAGCCAUGCCCGUGCCUGUGCGGUGGUGACCGGCGUCAACGCGACAAUCAUGAUGGGCACAGGGUGUGUGUCGGCGUGAGUCCAUGCUCGCGUUCCUGACAUGAAGGAGCUGCAUGCACAGAGGCUGUUGCGAUCUGUUGGAGCUAGCUACUUGGUGUACGCGUGACUCGCGUGGGGUUAGUUAGUGCAUGGAUUAGAUUAGCUGGAUAAGGUUGUUAGCUAGUGCGUGAGUGCCGGCCAAGUUAAUUGAGUUAGUGGAGCCGAGUGUAGCAAUGUAGCCACUGUAAAAAAGAAAAGGAUUUGGGCGUUCGUGCGCCCGUGGCGGCGUUCGUGCGCCGGCCCGAAAUUUCUUGUGUCUUGCGUCUUCUUCUACCUCUAGCCGAGAGUGAGAGAAGGCUGCUGUUCCAACAUUUGGUGUCAGAGCUGGUUCAUUUUGGGUGUCGUCACCUUGCCGGAGGCGUGCCGGCGGUGACGACGUUCGCCGGCGGCUGCGCGGUGAAGCUCCGGGUCGUGUGUCGGCCUAUGGAGGUGGGCGACGCUGCGGCUGUCAUGGUGCGUGGCGGAGGCGGCGGACGAUGAUGUCGUACAUGCGGCGACCACGGAGGCAGCUGAGGCGUGGCGUGGUGGCGCAGCGGCGCUGCACGGCGGCGUGGAUGUUGCUGCGGCUGUGGCGCGGCAUCCGGGGAACGUCGACAAUGAGUGCAGCGCGGUGGCCAUGGUGCGGAGGCCGGGCGGUGCGGCACAGGUCGUCCCGUGUGAGGGGCCGCCGGCAACGAGUACAAGACGACGUCGACGGCAAGGUCAUGGCUUAGGGGGUGAGUGUUGGUAAUAAGCCAUGCCCGUGCCUGUGCGGUGGUGACCGGCGUCAACGCGACAGUUCUGGUUCAUGAUGGGCACAGGGUGUGUGUCGGCGUGAGUCCAUGCUCGCGUUCCUGACAUGAAGGAGCUGCAUGCACAAAGGCUGUUGCGAUCUGUUGGAGCUAGCUACGUGGUGUGCGCGUGACUCGCGUGGGGUUAGUUAGUGUAUGGAUUAGAUCAGCUGGAUAAGGUUGUUAGCUAGUGCGUGAGUGCCGGCCAAGUUAAUUGAGUUAGUGGAAAUGUAGCCACUGUAAAAAGAAAAGGAUUUGGACGUUCGUGCGCCCAUGGCGGCGUUCGUGUGCCGGCUUGAAAUUUCUUGUGUCUUGCGUCUUCUUCUAUCUCUAGCCGAGAAUGAGAGAGGNNNNNNNNNNNNNNNNNNNNNNNNNNNNNNNNNNNNNNNNNNNNNNNNNNNNNNNNNNNNNNNNNNNNNNNNNNNNNNNNNNNNNNNNNNNNNNNNNNNNNNNNNNNNNNNNNNNNNNNNNNNNNNNNNNNNNNNNNNNNNNNNNNNNNNNNNNNNNNNNNNNNNNNNNNNNNNNNNNNNNNNNNNNNNNNNNNNNNNNNNNNNNNNNNNNNNNNNNNNNNNNNNNNNNNNNNNNNNNNNNNNNNNNNNNNNNNNNNNNNNNNNNNNNNNNNNUUCGAUGUGAUUUCUUCGUGUGAACGUAUGGAGCCUGUGUGCGAGCUAGCACAAGUGUGCGGAUCUGGAAGAAGGGCGGGCUAGUGGUAAGUAGGUGGACCGUCGUUAUCAAACACAAAAAUGGGACGGACAUUAAUUAACAUGAUACGGAGUAAAUUUUCUGUACGAUCGAUAUGUUCAUCUACCAUGCCAUGCAUUGAGAAAAGCAAAGCUAGGAUCUAUGACUAAUGAAGUACUCCUUUGUUUUUAAAUAUUUAUCUUUUUAGGUAUUUUAAAUGAACUACCAUAUAUAAAUGUAUGUAAACAUAUUUUAGAGUGUAGAUUCAUUCAUUUUGCUUCGUAUGUAGUCACUUGUUGAAAUAUGUAGAAAAACAAAUAUUUAAGAACGGAUGGAGUAUGUAAUAAUUUCCACCGGCAAAUGUACUGAUCAGGCGGUGCAGAGUGAUCAAUGCCAGCCACAUGCGGUGCUUUAUUUCUUAACUCCAACCAAGUGGAGCCCAUAUCAAGCAUACUCCUACGAGAGAAUAUCAUAUGAAAACCAAUAUUUUCGUGGAAACCAUCUUUAGAAGUUUUUAAAAAUAUGAAAAAUAUUAAUAUGGGAUGUUAAGCGGGUGAUGUUCUAUUGCUAUGCGAGAUUCCAAGUUAAAAAACAUUACAUGAUGCGAUUUAUGGAAAAAAUAUAUUUGCAGUGAAUAGUGACAUUAUUGUUUGGCACUAUUCAAUGUUGAUUUUGUUAUUUUUUAGCUCUCAUCCAGUAAUGCGUUUGAACUUGGAAUUUCACAUGUCAAUAGAACAUCACUUUCUUAACAUCUCUUUUUUUUAGAUUUUCUUGAAACUUCAAACCAUCUUUUCCGCGUGGUUUUCAUUGGGUUGCACCAAAUGUUGACUUCCAUGAGAGAAGAUCACAUGAAAACCAACAUUUAAAGAAAAGUUCGUGAAAACCACCUAUGAAAGUGUUGGAAAAAAGGAAAAACAGUGGGAUGUUAAGAGGGUGAUGUUCUAUUGCUAUGCGAAAUUCCAAGUUGAAAAACAUCUGUAAUUAAGUCAUAUUUUUCUUUUAAUUAUAUAGCAAAAAUGGGAUCUAUGAUUUAUAUUUUCUUAUAGGAAUAUUUCAAAUGUUUUGAUUGAGAACAAAUAAAUAAUAGUAUGAUUAAAUUUGUCUCGAAAGACAUACUCAUAACAUAAUUUGAGUGAAUUCAAAUUUUCACCCAUUACUUUGGCAUUUUGACACUAAUUAGCCAUUCACAACUUUUCAUCCGGACUAGAUGACCCGUUGAAUGAUUUUUUUUGCCGAACUACAUGCAAAAUAGAAGGUUCAUCGAUUAUGCUCAACUGUGUUCGAUAGAUACGUCAAGUUUGGCGAACUCACCGGUAUCGAGUCUGUUGCCCUCACAAACUUAAAGCCACCCUCGGCCUUGAGGACGAAUAGCGGCCGAGCUGAUAGUUCCCAAGGGAGUGAAUUCCACUUUUUACCCCAUAUUUAUACAUUUGUGACACUAAUUACCCCUUCGAGUGAAAAUUCGUCUAGAAUACCCCUUUUGAAAUCUUUGGACCCUUGUUUUUUGAUGCGUGUCCAUCAGGUAAGGUGUGAGGUGACGCCCUGUAUCCAAAAACAUGUGGACGGCUACAAGGAGUGGAACAGAUAGACAAGAGAAGCUUGGACAAGAUCGCCAAUGAUGCCCUCCGAUCCUUACAGUUUUUUUUACAAAUCAAUGACGCAACAUGCCGAUCCUAUCGACCAUAAACAGACAAAAUGUAAAACUGGGGUAAAACCGUGUUAAAAGUCUUCAAAAUCUGACAUUUCGAUAAAAGUUCCGCUAAAUAGGGUAAUAUGUGUCACAAAUGUACAACUACAAGGUAAAAAAUGGAAUUCACUCUUCCCAAGGAGUAGCGCCGAGAGGGCGCAACGCCAUAUGGGGUUCCACGGGCAUGUACUCCUCAUGAAGCGUGGGAGACGCGACGUAUCGGCCUCAUUAAUUCCCCACUUCAUGCAAAGGGCGUCAUGGUGUACGAACAUGCGAUGUUAUACGAGGCAAAUUUGACAAUUUUGACCUCAGGAUGAAAUCAAAUCACAGAAUGAACUGCCCGUGAAACUAUUUCACGCGGCUGAUCUUUUUGUGUGACGCUCGACACGCAGGCGCCACACCCUACGGUGCAGCGCCUAGCUCUGGGGCGUUGCACCUCUGUCCAUCGUGGCAGCCCCUGAGCCCGCACCCAGCAGUGCAGCGCCUCAGAGCUAGGCGCUGCACAUGUAAUGUGCAGCGCCUAGCCCUUAGGCGCUGCACUGUCUGUUACUAGUUGGCUGCCCCCCUCCCCCCACCCCACACACCCCUACCCCCAUAACAUCCGACCCGAGAUUUGCCACCUCUUUUCCUCUCUCCCCCUCUCAAAUCCUCUCCCAAAUCUUGGAAAUUUGAAGAUUUUGUCCGUGGAUUUCAAACUCAAACCCUCCCUCAAGGUAAUCUUCUACGAUCCCCUUGUUUUGAUCCAAGUAAUGUUAACAAAUUGCUCAUUUGUUGCUAGUUUGUGGAAACCCUAGUUUUGUAUGGAUCUAGAGAUUUGCAUGGAGAUGUGAGAUGUUUGUUUGCCAAUUUCCUAUGAUUAGGCUUGUUAGUAUGGUAGGGUUAUUCUUAUGGGUGUUCUUAUGUUGGUGCUAGGGUUAGGGUUGUUGUUUCAUAUGUAUUUUAGGGUUUGUAUACCGUGUUAAUCCUUGGAUUAGAACUCAUGAAAGCAAUGUUACGUUGUGUUGUUUGAAUGCUUAUAGGGAUGGGAAGAACAUGUGUGUUUGUUCAUCAUGGGAACAAAUACGCCUUCUUGAAAGGCAAUAUUGAACCGGACCCGGAUGAGUUUGACAUGGUGUUUGAUAGUAGUCCUAGCUAUGCGGAGCUCUUGCAACAAGUGAGGAAAGAGUUGAAUUGGAUGGACCCUAGUGAUAUCGUUGAGUUGGAGGGAAGGCAUAAUGUUGGUUUUGGAAUGCACAUCCGUUGGAAGACAAUGCGUGUCAAUUCGGAGCAAUAUUGGGUUGCAUACAAGGAGACGGUGGCCGAAUCACUAGACAAGGCUCUUGAGUUAUUUGCAACGAAGAAGGUUGAUUCAAGUUUGCAUUUGGGCUUGAACCGGAACCCCUCCCCUUUGGUUGCUUGUAUCCCCCCACCCUUGAAGCGAGAUGAAAUUGUUGAACCUCUUUUGACCCAAGAAGUGAGGCCAACAUUGAGAAUGUUUCCAAACAACCAAAAUGAAGCUUUGCAAGAGGAGAAUGAUGAGUAUGCGGACGAUGACAAUGAAGUUGAUCUCCAUGACAACAAUGUGGGUGAUCUCGACAAAUAUCAUUUGCAAGAGACAAUGGAACAUUCCAUCCCUUAUUCCCAUGGCUAUGCAUCAGAUUCAGAUGACAAAGGUCCCGAUGAACAAGUUGAUGAGGAGGGGUUCACGGUGAAGGAGGCCGAAGCUUUUGAGAAGGUAUUCAGUCAUGAUCAUCAGACUACAUUGUUCAAGGAUGGUAGUCUCGCGGAUGAAGCCAUGGUAGAUGGUGGCCAAGGUAUAUCUCUUAGGGUUAGGCCAAGAUCCCACCGUGAUUUGGAUGACGACAAUAACGGGAUUGCUAAAGGGUCUAAGUUCGUACCUUCUUGGAAUUGAAGAUGUGGCUCGAAACUGCUCGGUUACGCAUUAUCGUCCACACAAGGUGGUGAACUCGGACGUCAAUGCGUGCUACACGGUUGCAUGUGCAUGUGAAGAUGAAAUAUGUCUGUGGAUUGUGUGUGCAAGACCAUGGAAAGGAGGUCCCACUUGGUAUGUAGUGAGUUGUGUGCCAACUCACAUGUGCCGAGGCAAAAGGGUGGAUGGGAAGAUUGUGUCCCAAGACUACAGACAACUCACGUUCGAGUUCAUCGCUUACAGGCUCUCCAACUCAAUAUCCACAGUUCCAACAAUGAGCGUCCAACAUGUUAUUGACCUUGUGAAAGCCAUCUUUCAUUACAAGGUGAAGUACGGCAAGGCAUGGAAGGCGAAGCAAGCUGCAUUUAAGAUGUUGUAUGGUACUUGGGAGGAAUCAUACAACCUAAUCCCUAGGUUGUUGUUAGCCAUGGCCGCCACAAACCCGGGCAUGGUUCAUAUGGUCGAGCCUCAUGGGGAAAAACAACGGUUCAUGAAGGAAGGGAAGUCCGAGUAUUUGGCCGUGCUUUUUGGGCGUUCGAGCAAUGUGUGAGGGCUUUCGAACACUGUAGGCCGGUCAUUGCCAUUGAUGGCACGUUCUUGACUGGACAAUACAAGGGCACCUUGUUGGUUGCGAUAGCAAGUGAUGCCAAUAACCGGGUGUUGCCAUUGGCAUUUGCUUUGGUUGAAGUGGAGAACAAUGACAACUGGGAGUGGUUUUUGCGUCUUUUGAGGACGAAGGUGUUACCCGCUCAGAGGGAAAUUUGUGUCAUAUCAGAUCGGCAUCAAGGAAUUCUUAACGCGGUGUAGAUUGACAUUCCCGGGCAUGCUCCAUUGCACCAUCGAUGGUGCAUGAGGCACUUUUGUUCCAACUUGUAUAGGGCAUGUGGCAUUAAGGAGUUGGCCGAUGAUCUUCAAGAUUGUUGUCUCGCUUUCUCCGAAAAGCGGUUCGCCACUUUGUACAACAAAUUGCUCGCACAAAAAAAACUUGAUCCCGGUGGUCAAGACUUUCUCAAUAGGCACAUUCAAUAUCGGAACAAGUGGACACGUGCUUUUGAUGAAGAUGGCCGAAGAUACGGUCAAAUGACAAGCAAUAUGGCCGAAUGCUUCAAUAGGGUGCUCAAAGGUGCACGUGGAUUACCCAUGACGGCAAUAGUUCAAUACACAUUUGACAAGAUGAAUGCGUACUUUCUAAAGUACUCCAUGGAAACGGAUGCACAAAUAGCGGGUGGGAACAAUCGCAAGUACAAGUACAAGUUCCCACCCAAGGUUGAUGAAUGGUUGGAAUUUCAAUCACGGAAGGCAGACUCACAAGAAGCUAUACUAUAUAACAACGAAGAAUGGAAGUACGAAGUGAAAGAGCCAGGAGGAACCACAAAAUGAUGGCCGCCAACAUGAAGGCUGGGCUUUCAAGGUGUCGCUAACACGUUGUGAUUGCUCUUACGGGAGGCCAUUGUUGCUUCAUCUCCCAUGCUCACACUUGUAUACCGCCGGUCGCAUUAGAAAUGUGGAUGUCAAUCACCCACUCACCGUGAGGGAGUCGGAGUUCUCAAUCAUGACCGUCAAGAAAACAUGGGCUCCCCGCUUUCACCCAUACUUUGACCAAUCACAAUGGCCAGAGUACCAUGGAAUUCAACUAUGACCGGAUCCGGAGUUGAAGGUUGUUAAAUGGGGUAGACGUAAGACAAAGCGUCUUAGAGGAGACAUGGACGGAUGGGGCCAUGGUGGCCGCUACGAAGCGGGCAACGACUGAUUCCAAGAGCCUCGUGAGAGCUCCAGUUGUGGGGAAUGCAAAGGUCAUGGCCACAACAAAAUAAAAUGUACGAAACCAAGGAAAAGGUCCAAGAAAAAUGAUGCAAGCACAAGCCAACAAGGAGCUACACAAGGGAGCCAACCAAGUGGUAGCCAAUAAGUGCCGAGGCAAGCAAGUGGUAGCCAACCAAGGAAAAGGUCCAAGAAAAAUUAUGCAAGCACAAGCCAACAAGGAUCUACACAAGGGAGCCAACCAAGUGGUAGCCAACAAGUGCCAAGGCAACUAAGUGGUAGCCAAUAAGUGCCAAGGCAACCAAGUGGUAGCCAACAAGUGCCAAGGCAACCAAGUGGUAGCCAACAAGUGCCAAGGCAACCAAGUGGUAGCCAACAAGUGCCAAGCCAACCAAGUGGUAGCCAAAUAGGAUCUAGGCAACAAAGAGGGCGACAACUAGGACUUACAAGAGGCCGUGGUGGUGGUGAUGGUAGAGCUCGUGGUGGUGGUGUUGGCCGUGGUGAUGGUCUUGGCCUUGGUGAUGGUCUUGGCCUUGGUGGUGGACUUGGCCGUGGUGGUGGUCAAGGGCAAGGUUGUUGGAGAACGUAGUAAUUUCAAAAAAUUUCCUACGCACACGCAAGAUCAUGGUGAUGCAUAGCAACGGGAGGGGAGAGUAUGAUCUACGUACCCUUGUAGAUCGACAACGGAAGCGUUUGGUUGAUGUAGUCGUACGUCUCCACGGCCCGACCGAUCAAGCACCGAAAUUACGGCACCUCCGAGUUCUAGCACACGUUCAGCUAGAUGACGAUCCCCGGACUUCGAUCCAGCAAAGUGUCGGGGAAGAGUUCCGUCAGCACGACGGCGUGGUGACGAUCUUGAUGCACUACCGUCGCAGGGCUUCGCCUAAGCACCGCUACAAUAUUAUCGAGGACUAUCGUGGAAGGGGGCACCGCACACGGCUAAGAGUAUGAUCAUGUGGAUCAACUUGUGUCUCUAGGGGUGCCCCUGCCUCCGUAUAUAAAGGUUCAAGAGGGGGAGGCCGGCCGGCCAUCAUAGGGCGCGCCAGGAGGAGUCCUACUCCCUCCGGGAGUAGGACUUCUCCCCCAAUCCUAUUUGGAAUAGGAUUCACGAGUUGGGAAAAGAGAGAGAGAGAAGGAAGGGGGCGCCGGCCCCCUCUCUCCUUGUCCUAUUCGGACUAGGGGGGAGGGGCGCGCGGCCCAGCCCUGGCCGCCUCUCCUCUUCUUCCACUAAGGCCCAUUAAGGCCCAUAUAGCUCCCGGGGGGUUCCGGUAACCUCCCGGUACUCCGGUAAAAUCCCGAUUUCACCCGGAACACUUCCGAUAUACAAACAUAGGCUUCCAAUAUAUCAAUCUUUAUGUCUCGACCAUUUCGAGACUCCUCGUCAUGUCCGUGAUCACAUCCGGGACUCCGAACAACCUUCAGUACAUCAAAAUGCAUAAACUCAUAAUAUAACUGUCAUUGUAACCUUAAGCGUGCGGACCCUAUGGGUUCGAGAACAAUGUAGACAUGACCGAGACACGUCUCCGGUCAAUAACCAAUAGCGGGACCUGGAUGCCCAUAUUGGCUCCUACAUAUUCUACGAAGAUCUUUAUCGGUCAGACCGCAUAACAACAUACGUUGUUCCCUUUGUCAUCGGUAUGUUACUUGCCCGAGAUUCGAUCGUCGGUAUCCUAUACCUAGUUCAAUCUCGUUACCGGCAAGUCUCUUUACUCGUUCUGUAAUACAUCAUCCCGCAACUAACUCAUUAGUUGCAAUGCUUGCAAGGCUUAAGUGAUGUGCAUUACCGAGAGGGCCCAGAGAUACCUCUCCGACAAUCGGAGUGACAAAUCCUAAUCUCGAAAUACGCCAACCCAACAUGUACCUUUGGAGACACUUGUAGAGCACCUUUAUAAUCACCCAGUUACGUUGUGACGUUUGGUAGCACACAAAGUGUUCCUCCGGUAAACGGGAGUUGCAUAAUCUCAUAGUCAUAGGAACAUGUAUAAGUCAUGAAGAAAGCAAUAGCAACAUACUAAACGAUCGGGUGCUAAGCUAAUGGAAUGGGUCAUGUCAAUCAGAUCAUUCACCUAAUGAUGUGAUCCCGUUAAUCAAAUAACAACUCUUUGUCCAUGGUUAGGAAACAUAACCAUCUUUGAUUAACGAGCUAGUCAAGUAGAGGCAUACUAGUGACACUCUGUUUGUCUAUGUAUUCACACAUGUAUUAUGUUUCCGGUUAAUACAAUUCUAGCAUGAAUAAUAAACAUUUAUCAUGAUAUAAGGAAAUAAAUAAUAACUUUAUUAUUGCCUCUAGGGCAUAUUUCCUUCAAAGGUCGUUAUAGAGGAAUGUUUGGAUACCUCGAUGGACCAUUUUCGUAUGUUGCUCACUAACUAUAAUGUUCCAUAUAUUCUUGUUGUCCUUAUUCACUAAUAUGUUGCAAUGUACAUGUUCUUCCAUUUGUUCUUAUUGUCAUUACUAACUAUUAUGUUUCACUCAUUGUAGGUAUGGCGACAUCUCAACCCAACAAACCAACAAUGAAGGAGAAGAUGAGAUGGCAGUAUGGUGGGAAAAGGCUGCGAAGAAGCUGAGAGAGGAGGAUGCAGCCGCACUAAAGAAGAAGAAGGAAGAGGAGCUCGAAGAGAAGAGGAAGGAUAGAGAGAGAAUGUACCGUGAGUGUCGUGCUAGGGACCAUGCAUUGAAGAGGAAAUGUAAGGAGGCAGAGAAGAAGCGUCUCAAGGAUUUUCAAGAAAGAACCUUGAAACUUUGGGUAUUUGAAGAUGAAAAAAAAUAGAGGGAGAACAAGAUAUUCAUGGAGAGGGUGGUUAAGGAGGCUCACCGUAUAAGGAAAAGGGAGGAGGAAGAGGAAGAAGAGAGGAAGAAGAAGAAGGGAAAGAGGCCUUUCUCUACGCAAUAGAGCUAUGUCAUCUUCAACUUGCUUGUGGACGAUGAUCAUGUUAUCCUCUAAACUAUGCUCUUCGAUUUGGUUGUGAACUAAUAUGUGUCAUGAACUAUUAUGUAUUUUGGACUCCUCCUCAAUUUGGUUGCGAACCACUAUGUGUCAUUAAGUACUAUGUAUUUCCUCCUUGAUUUGGUUGUAUGAACUACUCCUCAAGUUGAAGUACUAUGUGUUAUGAAGUACUAUGUAUCAUGAAGUACUUUGUGCAUAUAUUGUCUUCAUAGUUGUUUUCCUACUUGCUAUGUAUACUAUGUGUGCAUAUGUUAUCUUCACAAUACUAGGUUUGCCAACAAAUUCACCAAGUCCAAGUUCAGUGCCUAGCUCGUGGGCGUUGCACUGCUUCGUGUGGUGCCUCCAGGCUAGGCGCCACACCAGCCUGUAACUUGCGAACUUUCUGUUGCUCUCUGGAUAGCUCUUCCCAGGCGUGCAACGCCUCAGAGCUAGGCGCUUUGAGGCGUUGCACGUCUGCGAAGAGCUAUCCAGAGAGCAACAGAAAGUUUGCAAGUUACAGNNNNNNNNNNNNNNNNNNNNNNNNNNNNNNNNNNNNNNNNNNNNNNNNNNNNNNNNNNNNNNNNNNNNNNNNNNNNNNNNNNNNNNNNNNNNNNNNNNNNNNNNNNNNNNNNNNNNNNNNNNNNNNNNNNNNNNNNNNNNNNNNNNNNNNNNNNNNNNNNNNNNNNNNNNNNNNNNNNNNNNNNNNNNNNNNNNNNNNNNNNNNNNNNNNNNNNNNNNNNNNNNNNNNNNNNNNNNNNNNNNNNNNNNNNNNNNNNNNNNNNNNNNNNNNNNNNNNNNNNNNNNNNNNNNNNNNNNNNNNNNNNNNNNNNNNNNNNNNNNNNNNNNNNNNNNNNNNNNNNNNNNNNNNNNNNNNNNNNNNNNNNNNNNNNNNNNNNNNNNNNNNNNNNNNNNNNNNNGCUUCGUGUGGCGCCUCCAGGCUAGGCGCCACACCAGCCUGUAACUUGCAAACUUUCUGUUGCUCUCUGGAUAGCUCUUCCCAGGUGUGCAGCGCCUCAGAGCUAGGCGUUGCACUGCUUCAUGUGACGCCUAGCUCUGAGGCGUUGCAUGCCUGGGAAGAGCUAUCCAGAGAGCAACAGAAAAUUUACAUCCCGUUUGUGGUCAAAAAAUUCGCUAAGUGUUUGUGUGGCGCCUAGCACAGAGGCGCCACAUGAAGCAGUGCAAUGCCCACGAGCUAGGCACUGCAUUGCUUCGUGUGGCACCUUCGGGCUAGGCGCCACACCAACACUUGGUGUUUUUUUAUCCCUCAUACUGGGUCAUUUCUGGCAUAUUUUCAAGCACAUAUACUUGCAUCACAUAAUAAACAAUAAUGAUAUUGAUUUAUGACAUUUUCAACACAUCUUCAACUUCAACAAAGACAAGAAUUCUUCGAGUGACCAUCACUUCAAGUUCAACAUUACUAGGACAUACAUCAAGUUCAACAUUACUAAGAGCUACCACCACUCUAAGUUCAACGACAUAACAAGUUCGACAUAAGCAAAACGCCCACUAGGCGAGUUACAUAACAAAUAGAGGACGACGACUAGUUCCUUGUGCGAUUUUUGGCUCCUACCCCCUCCUGUUGGCUAUCUUCUUCUCCUUCCUAGGAAGAGCAACAUGCUCCAGCUCCGGCUCCGGUUCCUCCCCGUCAUCCACAUAGUCAUCUAAAGCUGCCAUCCGCGAGGUGUCGACCGUCCUUUUGCCUCUUUGGGUGAAGUCUUCAGGUGUGUAUUUAUUGAUUACCUUCCUAGGCUUUAACUCGUAUGCUGACCGAACUUGAUAGGUCCCCAAGGUCAUAUCAUCAGGAACCUAUUACAAAAACAAAAGAUAUGGAAAGACCGUGUGUGAGGAUAUAGUUAGCAAUGCAUCAGCAAUUGAAUAUAUGCUCAUGCCAUACCUCUUGGGUGACCACACCCACAUCCUCAUCCUCCAAAGGAUCACCAUGGCCAGAAGUGAGAUCUGAUGGUGUCGCCGACCUAGACCGUUCUGGUGAUACAUACUCGGGGUCACGACAAGAAAAGGUUUGAUAGCUACCUUAACUUUUGGCCCUGGCGCUACAACAUGUACAAGUGAAUGAGACAUCGAAUGUAGCAACACAUGUUAAGUGCUAGUUUGAAGGAGAUGUGAACCUUAAUGAAUGCUCGAAGUGCACCUUCCCCAUCGCUUUUCCCAACUGGGAUUGUUUCCAAAAUAGUCUCGGUCUCAUCAGCUGCUUUCUUGAUCUGGGCAUACUAUGAACAGAAACGACAUUAACAUGUUAGGUAGGCGAAGAUGUGAAUAGUGCGAAUGGAAAAGCAAAAAGGGCAAAUACCACAAAGUUCAUCAUUGGAGCUGAAGGGACUGAGUUGCCUUUCCUGACUAAUGCGUUGUACUUGUGCCGAGUUAGCUCAUCGAAAAUGGUGGGAUCUUCCAAAAUCUCCUCAGCAUAUGCUGGAUUGCAUACCUCCACACAUGUACUUGCAAGAAACCAUGUGAGAUAGUUGUUGAACGCGAUUGGACAGUGCUCAUGAAGCUGGGCUCGUUUUCCAGCCUUAGCUUGCUCCACACUAAGCACAAACUGCACGACAUACUUCCUGUGAUGCUUGGCCCAAUCCUUGAUCUUCCGCUGCCUUUUCCUAUCCAACUUGCAAGUUAGAAAUAGAAUAUUAGCACCAUCCAAACCGCCGAGAAGCUGCUAAGUGCUCAAGGUUAAUUAUAUUUUACGCGUGUAGCAACUUGUCCGUGUCCACCCACUCCGGGGGUGUGGCUGGAACAAACCAAACUGGCGGUACACCCGAUGUGGCAGGUGAAGCUCAACCGCCCAGUUGCAUAUGAGUGGGCACCACAUAUGCCAAAGAUCCCUAUCCCUAGUGCACAUCGGAUUCACCCUGAACUCUAUAGGGUCACCAAAACUAUCCCCUCUUCCAUACGGCUCCCAUUCCACCUGCAAAAUAGCAUUGAAUGCAAAAUUGAUCUCGAGUUACGAUAGAAGCAUGAGAAUCACUUAUGCAAUGUCGAGUCACCUGCUCAGCCGUGAUCAUGUCCAGCUCGCUCUUGUACAACUUGUACAUGACCGAGGGAUCAUCCGUCAUCUCAUUUAACACAUCCCACUUGUAAGCCCAAGUGGGGAGCUGUAGUGGGUCGUCUUUGUCGUCCCAAUCCUCGUACUUCACGAUCGUCGGUCAUCCAACCGGCAAACGCUCCCAGCUCCAUAUGGAAAGUGCGAGCAUAUAACCACCAAUACCUCCAGAUGGCCUACAAUAGGCUUCGUCCAACUGCAUAAAAAGAGAAAAUGGUUGAAUUAACAGGAAGAUCGCAUUGAUAAUGUAGCAAUGAAGUGAAAAACAAACAACUUCAUACCUGUCUAUACAAGUAAGCCAGUGUCGCCGAACCCGAACUCCAUUUGCUAUCGAAGACAGUCAAAGCCUUCAGCCACAUCCAUGGAGCAUUCUUGCCUGUGCCAUCAACAAACAUAGUCCGGGAUAUAACGUAUCACAUGUAGACACGAGCAUAUGUCUUGACCUCAUCCUCAUUAGCUUCCUCGGGGCAAGUACGAAAGUUCCAUGCAAUCCAACUGAAAGAAGCACCGGCCGCGACUCUUUCCUUCUUCUUGUCUUCUGCUUCUGGUUCCCGAGGCUCCGGAGGAACCAUACCGAUAAGCGCAUUCAUCUGCGCAUGCCACCCAUCAGAAUCGGUGUUCAUACAUAAAGGAUUCCCCUCGAUAGGAAGACCGGUGAUCAUAGCAAUAUCCUGGAGCGUCACGGUCAUCUCCCCGGUCCGAAGAUGGAAACUGUGUGUCUCCAGCCUCCAACGAUCAAUAAGCGCGGUGAUUGUUGCAGCAUUGUGGGCAGGUGUCGACCGGCUAACCAAUUGAAUGAAAGGGAGAAGUCAUGUCUCCCUUACAUACGGUGUGUAUCGCUCAUCAUAGCGCAUCCCCCAAGGUUGGCCCCGUGAGAUCGAAGCUUCAGAGGUGCAAGCUUCUACAAACAAACAAAUCAUAAAAUUACAUAUGGGGCAUUUGUGUUUCAAAUAAACACGAAAUUCAUAACACCGGCCACUAUCAUUAUUACCCGCUGCUCCACCGACAUAGCAUACGAUCGGUGUUGAUGGUCCCAAUGGUCAUCGAGAAGCCAAACCAUCCUAAAAAUUUCAAACAAAGCUUUCUUGUCAACAUGAUUAUCUUUUGAAUACAAAUAAACUAAAGUAUGCCUACUAUAUGCAAAAUUCAAAGCAUAUGUAUCCAAAGCAUUCUUGUCAAUACGAAUAUAAUUUCAACACAAAUAAACUAAACUAGGCCCACUUCAUGCAAGAUUAAAUACAAAUAUCUUUUCCAUAUAAAAUAACAUGUCAACCUAUGUAUCCAAACCAUAUCUUUUCAAUAAAAUCAACUAAACUAGGGUUGCAAAAUUAGGUAUCUAAUACAUGCAACAUUCUAAUCUAAUCUAAUCAAACAAGGGUUCCCCAAAAUCUUCAAAAUAGCAUACAUUUUAUGGAUAGAAAGAAGGGGAUCGGAGGAGAGUACCUUCNNNNNNNNNNNNNNNNNNNNNNNNNNNNNNNNNNNNNNNNNNNNNNNNNNNNNNNNNNNNNNNNNNNNNNNNNNNNNNNNNNNNNNNNNNNNNNNNNNNNNNNNNNNNNNNNNNNNNNNNNNNNNNNNNNNNNNNNNNNNNNNNNNNNNNNNNNNNNNNNNNNNNNNNNNNNNNNNNNNNNNNNNNNNNNNNNNNNNNNNNNNNNNNNNNNNNNNNNNNNNNNNNNNNNNNNNNNNNNNNNNNNNNNNNNNNNNNNNNNNNNNNNNNNNNNNNNNNNNNNNNNNNNNNNNNNNNNNNNNNNNNNNNNNNNNNNNNNNNNNNNNNNNNNNNNNNNNNNNNNNNNNNNNNNNNNNNNNNNNNNNNNNNNNNNNNNNNNNNNNNNNNNNNNNNNNNNNNNNNNNNNNNNNNNNNNNNNNNNNNNNNNNNNNNNNNNNNNNNNNNNNNNNNNNNNNNNNNNNNNNNNNNNNNNNNNNNNNNNNNAUAACACAAAAAUAUUUCAAGUCUUGAAUAUUGUAUUGAUAUCAAACAUGUAAUAGUAUAAGCUUUACAAUAAAAAGACUACAUUUCUACUAGUUUGAAUGCAGAUCUACGCCCCCCAGCCGGUCGAUCAAACAAAUCAAUAAUCUCAUUAACAUUGAACUUUGCAGCUAUUUCCUUCCCAAUGUAUACAACCAUGUAAGGUCGAAGAAAAUCGUCACCCAUUUUACUUCGGAGACGUGUCUUGAUAAUCUUCAUUGCUGAAAAAGCUCUCUCCGCAGUUGCAGUUGACACCGGGAGAGUGAUGACCAAGCGCAAUAAUCUAUCAACCAUUGGAUACACAGAGGCUUUACCUGUUUUAUGCAAUGCAACGGUCAAAUCAGCCAGUGAUGACGAAGAAUUCAGCUCUGGAUGGUUGCAAACAUCUAACUGAUAGUGUGGAAGUUGUGACUCCAGGCGAGCCUGCUCUUGACUAGAAAAAUCCGCUGGAUAGAAUUUGUCCACAAGCAUGCAAAUCUUUGAUAUGUCAAACGAGUCAUGCCUUGGAUCCAAGGAUGCACAGAGUGUCAUUAGCUCUGUUGUCUGAACGCUAAAACGGUCAUUUAGCUCAACCAGUUGUUGAUCUAUCGCCACAUUGAACACAUCUGCUUUGUAGUGGUGAAGCAUCGUGAUGUUAUUAUGUGUAUUCCGAGACUUAGUCACAUCAACAUACCUGUAAAUUACAAAUACAGUAUAUGUGUUAGAGUAAAGCAUAUGUGAUCAAUAUUAUUCUAUUAUACAGUAGAGGAAAGGGAGUAAGGGACAUACUUGCGACUCAUAUCGGGGAUCUCAACUUCAUGCUUCACACAAAAGGUCUUAACCUCCUCUAUGAGAGGUUCCCAUCCUUCCUCUCUUAGAUCAGCGAGGAGCACCUUAGUGUUAGAGAGUGUAUCUAAUGCAUUCAAAAUGUCCAUAGAUUUCUUCUGGAGUGUUUGGCACAAGACAUCUGUGAUUUUCAUAAUCCUCUCCAUGAGGUGCAAAAUGAACACAAAAUCAAAAGAAACAAUUAUCCUUAGGGCGCCUCCAGCAUCUCCACGGGAAUAUUGUGUCACCGAAUGAUCAUUCGCUAUACCUCGUAGGACUGUAAUUGUGGCACCAAACAUCUUCCUCAAGCUCCGAAUUGACUUGAAGUGCGAACUCCAUCUAGUGUCUGCUGGUCUCUGUAAAGAACCUAUCUGGUUUGCCCCUUUUCCCGUAUCAAGAUCCCCCAGUUCAAUUUCACGUGCAAUUUCGGUGGCUUGAUUUGCUAGUAACUCAUCAUUGCGUUUAGGUGAAGCACUAACAACAUUUAUGACAAAAUUGGCAUGUUGAAAAAAAUUAUGCACUUCAUGUACCUCUCGUGAUGCUGCAACAAGGGCCAAUUGAAGCUGAUGCGCCAUACAACGAAUGUAAUAUGCAUAAGGGCACGCCUUCAGAAUUAAAGCCUUCAAUCCGUUCCACUCCCCUCGCAUAUUACUGGCCCCGUCAUAGGCCUGACCUCUGAUAUCUUCCACAUUUAAAUUGUUAUCUGCUAGAACAGUGCAAAUUGUCUCCUUGAGAGUCAAUGCAAGAGUGUCAUUCACAUGAAUGACAUCAACAAAACGCUCCUGUAUGUACCUUCAGUGUCAGGAAACCGGAGGACCAACGCCAUUUGCUCUUUCUUGGAUUCAUCGCGAGCUUCGUCAACCAUUAUACAAAAUUUGCUAUCACCAAUUUCUUCUCUAAUUGUUCUUUGCACCUUUCGAGAAAGUAUAGCAAGAAUUUCCUCUUGAACCUGAUAAGAUGUGUACUUUGCGUUUCCAGGAGCAUUUUCCAAGACAACAUCUUUCACCUCCUUGUUAUAAGAAGCCAAAAGUUUUACGAGUUCUAGGAAAUUACCCCGGUUAAUGGAUCCCGGAGAUUCAGCAUGCCCUCUAAAAGCACAAGCCUGGAAUGUUAACCACCUGCAUCAUGUCAUAUAAUUGUUUUGUUAGGAUACUACAAGAUAUAAUAUUUUAAUUAUUGUAACAUAAGAUGGAAGAAAAAUAUUGCUUACCGGAUGGAAUCAAUUGUAACUUUGAGCCUUAGCCUUGCAUCUAAAAUUGUUUUUGCGGUUGCUUUCCCAUACACCUUAUCAAUAUGAGUCAUGCUGUUUUUGAAAUUAUCAUAACAACAAACUGAGAAGUUAUGGGCUGAACCAGCAUCUUUACCCAUAUGAGUUAAAAAAGCACACUCUUUCCCAUUAUUCACCUUCUUCCACCUAUCAAAGCCCAAAACAGUAAAUGUUUCUGAGUCGCACUUCCCAAUCGGCUUUCUUGAGAAGAGGAAACAAUGGAAGCAAUAUGCACGCUUUGUGUAAGGUGAAAACUCAAGCCAUUCAAAAUCCUUGAACCAACUGUACUAGAAACGCCGACGAUGUUUUGGUGGAUCAUCAUUAUAUGGAUACUCUCUCAUGUAUGGCAUGUAUCGGCCUUCAGAAAUAUAGAAUUGGCGUGCUUCAUUUUGCUUAUCAAGAGGGAGUUCCCAAAUCUGUUUGCGCUUUCCAGGGUCUCACUCGAAUGGUGUGCUUCCGAUUCUUUGUUGUUCUAGAACUUCUACUUCUACAGAUGCCUCAAUAUUUUGCUUGGGGGGUGGCAUAUCAACUGAACUGAGAUUGGGGACACUGUUAUCAGUGGGUUGCUCUGUGACAUCGACCUCCACGGUUGCAUUUGCAUUUUCAACUGUAGAGUUUGAAGCAAUUGGCUUGAAAAAAUUACUUAUCGGUGGUGUCUUCUUCUUCCUCAUGACCUAUGCAGUUCUUAUAUAAGUACAAAGCAGAUAUGUAAUCUGGAAUUGAUGUGACAAGUGCCAAAAUAUACUAAGUCACUAACCACUAAGUAGUAAGUACUAACAGUUGAUCAAUUGAUUUAUUGAAUCAAACUGACGAGUAGUAUGAACCUGACAAUAAUACCUCCUUCUCUGAUCACGGGACAGGAUCAGUUAGGAAUUCGGUGUGGGAUUGUGGCGAUUCCGUGCGGCUGCCUGUACUGGAUUGAUGCGCGGUCGGCGGCAGCUUCGCGAAUCAGCAAUCGACGACGGGCGAAACACGGCGGCGCGACGCCCGGCGGCCGGCGUCAAUGAAGCCCUAGCGCCAGCGGCUAGCGGCGCGUCGCGGACGAAAGAGUCCAGGUCUCCAGGAAGCUAGUCGCGUGCGUGUCGUUCAUCGUUGAUCGAUUGAGAUGUGGAUGCUACCAGCGUAUACAUGCGUAGUAUGCAGGCUGCAGCCUCGGCCCUUGGCCCUUCUUGCGUUUUGGGCUUGACAUGAGUUUAGCCCAUGCACUAAUGGCCUGAUGGCCGGAUAAUUAUGCCUAAACUAUUAGUACUAGUCCCCGCUGGAGUUCGUUGGGGGGGCGAACCAUGGGGGGGUCUGGCCCCCGCUCGCCCCCCUGCCUCCGCCUCUGGCUGGUCGUGACCACAGAUGCAGGUCGCUCAGCAUGAAAGGUAGAUAGAGAAAUGCCCGUGCAUUGCCACGGGCUUUUGGAAAAAAAUUAAGAUGCUACUCACGGAGCUAAAAUAACCAAGAAUAAUGCCGUCUCAACUAACUCACAUUUUUUUCUUGACAAUCAGCUAACACACAUCAUACUAUCAUACUAUCGAAGCCUUCCCCACCUUCGGCCAUCAAUUGGCCAUUCACAAGAGGGCGGCGGGUGCGGGCGCUAGACUUGGUCAACUACGGGGUUGCGGCAGCCGAAGAUCGAGUUGCACGUGGGGGUGUAGGGAGGGAAACAAGCACACAAGCAGCAGCGGCAUUGCGACGGGCGAUCGUGCCGCGACCUUUACCUUUUCCCGGGCAACAGCCAGAGGCCACCACGCUCCUCGGCUCUCCCUCCUCUCUUCCAUGCCUGGCAACAAGAUGGGACGAGAUAGAGAGGAGGCAACCAAGAUGUUUUUCUAUAUGGCGACCAAGAUGUUUUUGUUUACCUUCUGAAUUCUUCUGAUGGCUUAAUUACCUUGUGAAUUCUUCUGAUGGCUUCUCAAUGAUAUUCAGUUAUAUUGAGACGAACGAAUGCCCUGCUGUCCAAUCACUUGCCACCAAAGGUAUGUCCUGUAUGGUGUAUAUUUGGCCAGAUAUGUUCAUCGCACAUUCAGAAAACACAAAAAGAAUUGUGUACCUGCUAUCCAUUUUGUCUUUUAUAGUGAUACCUCCUUCUUUUUACAUUAUAUAAUUGUGCCUCAUCUACAUUACUUAACCCUGCUUAUGUAUAGAUUGUUGAAGUAGUGUGCUGCAAGCUGACUCCCUUAUGGAUGACACUGUACAACCACUUCACACACUCCAAAAAUGUAAGGAAAUUCUGUACCGUUCUGAGUUUCAAGCAAUAUUUAGUAGGCACAUGUAAGGUAGUCGGAGUUAUAUUUACAGGAGUCUGUGGUUGACCCUGUCAGGUUAAGCGCUUGAUAUCUGAAGAAGCAAAGAGUACUAAAGUUUUGGCAUAUAUUACUGCUCUUAAGAAAUUAUGCAACCAUCCGAAGGUAAUUAAUUCCAGUUUAAUGUUUCGCCCCANNNNNNNNNNCUGGAGAAGAGGGUCGCCGCCGCGUACAAAUCUGUUUCUGUAACUGCUGCAAUGGGGUGGGUGGGGGAGGAGAGGGCCGCCGCGGCUGGAUAAGUCACAGUGCAGCGUCCGAGCGCUAGGCGCUGCACAUUACAUGUGUGACGCCUAGCUCGGAGGUGCUACACUGAUGGGUGCGGGUCCAGGGGCUGCCAUGGUGGAUAGAGGUGCAACGCCCCAGAGCUAGGCGCUGCACCGUAGGAUUUGGUGCCUGCGUGUUGGGCGCCACACGAAAAGGUCAACCGCAUGAAAUAGUUUCACGGGCAGUUCAUUCUAUGAUUUGAUUUCGUCCUGAGGUCAAAAUUGUCAAAUUUGCCGUUAUACGACAUGGCAUGCGCACAGUGAAUCGUCAUGUUUAUUCAGAAUAUAUGCUUCAUUUGGACCGUAUGGUGUGUUUUAAUUUGAAUUUAGAAGUUUGAAAAGAAGGUUGAAAUGUCCAUUUGAGGAUGAAUCACAGUUGCCAGAUGCCCAACAUUCGUUGGGGGUGCUGCGAUGGCACCCCAUAGGUCGUUGUUGUUUGUAGAACCUCAUACAGCAUCAGCUUCUGCUUUUGCGACUUUGGCGCACUUGAUUAAAACUACAGUUGACAAAAUUAAAUAGUAAAAGCAUACAAAUUAAGACUUAUGGUAGACCGUACCUGCACAUGGGCGAUAGAACAAAAUGCACCAAGACAAUAGAAUAAAACUCACAGGGUUUGCUUUGGUUGCACCACUGGACACUAUUCACGUCUAGAUUUAUCGUUUCAUUUCUAUUUAGAUAGAGAAUUUGUAUUUUUUUUAGAGAUUGUAGAUAUGUGAGCAUUCACAAUUUUUCAGAUUUUUUUAAACUUCCGAAUUUUAAUUUUAUGCAGUGAGAUCAUUGUAUCACAUGAUACUUUCCCCAGAGGGCAGGACGAUAGACCACAUACAUUCUCCUCUGCACAAUUUUCACCCCACAACAAGCAUAUGUAUGAGAAGUAGUCUCGUAUAAGAAUCAUAUGUAAGUCGUUAGUUAUGUUGUCUUUGGCGGUCAGAAAAUCAUCACUGGAUUCAGCAAGUUGACAUCAAAGUUUUUUCCCUUGCCCUUAGUUACAAAAUUACGAUUUACGAAUGUGCGGUGUUGGUAUCAAACACGUUAAUAACACUUGCUAAAAGUUCCAGCAGCAAUAUGCGGGCAUGAAACUACUUUAUAAUCAUUAUUGAUAACAGCCAAUGUCAUAGGAGUACAAGAUUAAGCUCAACACAUUAUUUUAUUUCACUUGCUCGAUCUGUAACAGGGGCAACAGAUGGAGGUCGAACACAUGCAGAAAACAACAGCGAACACAUGCAAGGAGCAGCAACAGUAGACACCGAGUCGGCUAGCUAGCCUGGUGUGAUGAUGAUGCUGGCAGAUAACUUAGUGAAGGCUGGAAACGCACAGACACAAAAGCUCAACGAUUAAUCUUACUGUUUAUACUUACGAAUUAAGGUUUAAUAGCCAAUGAGUACUUAGAAUUAUAUAAUAUAAUCUUUCAAGUUAGGGGUGGAGGAUGUACGUGUUGCAGUCGACUUUGGUGUUGAUGGGGAAAGAGACGGAGACACCGCACUUGCCGGGGAUGUUGGCGGCGUUACCCAUGCUGAUGCCCGACCCGGCCAGCUUCUUGAGGCAGCGGCACGCCGCCUGCCGGUCGGCCGAGGUGGACGCCUUGGCGUUCAGGGUCCUCACCCCGCUGCAGCACCCCGCCGAGGGCGCCGACGCUUGCCCCGUCGCGUAGGACAUGCACGGCGCGACGGCGGACGUCACGUCGCCGCAGGUCACCGCCCCGGACGCCAUCUCCGCCACCGCCAGUGCGGCGAGCACGGCGAACACGGCGAGCAGUGCCACGCGAGCCAUCGAUCGAGGAUCUAGUGCUUCGGCUUGCUUGCUGGAAACCGUGGAGCUGGGAUGGAGUUGAGAGCUUGAUUAGCUUGUGUGGUGGUGGUGGUGGAGAUGGAAUAGAACUCCGUGGAGCGGGGUAUAAAUAGCCGGCGGGCGAGAGAUGGCUAGGAAGAAGAUAGGUGUUCUUGCAGCACUGCACUCCAGGGUGGCGGACGGUGGUGCGUGCAUGCACCGUACGUCCUACUACGUAGCUAAUGAGGCGUGCAUGCAUGCGCAUGAGGUGAGGGUUGUUGGGCGCUGCCGACCGUACGAUGUAUCAACCGGUCGCGUCCACUGCACGCAUGUGACGCUUUUUUAUUCACAUCUACUACUCCUCCAAUACAUAGUUAAGUCCAUACUGUGUAGUGUGCAGAUUCACAAAAGCUUCUGCGUGCAAAUAAUUCCAAUGUGAUUUUGCUCGUGUGAACGUAUGAAACCCGUAUCGAGCCAGUACUGUGUAGUGUGCAGAUUCAUCACUAAAAAAAAGUGCAGUGUGCAGAUCUGGACGAAGGACCAGUAUAGCUGGUGGGCCGUCGUUGUCAACACAAAAAAGGGACGGACAUGAACAUGAUACGGAGUAAAUUAUGUGUACGAUCGAUCUAUCCAUCUACCAUGCCAUGCAUCGUUAAAAGCGAAGUUAGGAUCUAUGACUAGUGAAGUACUUAUUAAUUUCCACCGGCAUCUGUACUGAUCAGGCGGUGCAGAGUGAUCAAUGCCAGAAACAUGCGUCUCUCUCUCUCUCUCUCUCUCUCUCUCUCUAUCUCUCUCUCUCUCUCUCGGUUCUCUCUUAACUCCAAUCCAGUGGAGUAUACAUCAAUCAUAUACUCCUACUGUAGUGACUUCAUACGGAGUACAUCACGAAGAUUUGUACGCAGUAUUUGUAAUACGUACUCCUAAUGAGUACGUAUUAUGUUCCCUGCACAUCAUAAACAAGUAACUUUUUCUAUAUGUCUUGAGUCAAACUUUAUAAACCUCAAUGGAGUAUUUGUAAAUCAUAUGUUUAGAUUAGUCUCUAAAGGCAUAUUCAUGACAUUAUAAUACGAGUGAAUUUCAGUUUUUGCUCCUUACUUUCACAUUUUUUAUAGCAAUCAGCCCACAACAACUCCUCAUCCAGAUUGCCCCAUUUAACAAAAAAAUUGCCCAUUUUGUACUCCAAAUAUUUUUAGAGUAAUCUACCAGGUUGGUCCCAUCUGUCGGUUAUGUGUGGCGUGCCACGCCGUGUUUAUUCUACUAGCGAUUUUCCCGCACCAGAACCCAGUUUGCCUCCUUUAGCCGGACCAACCCCGUGUUUAGUGACCAUGUUGUAAGCCUUGUUUCUUUUUCUAGAAUACGCAUAGUUAAGAAUAUGUAUCAUAUAUUCAUAGAAGAAAGGGCAAGACAUCCGUCCACAGAACUACAACGGGGCACUUAGCCCAGAUUACAUGGAUUACUCGCUAAAGACCCGCCUAAACAACCUCUGACAAAAAAUAAGGACAUGUCUCCAUGAAACAACCUCACUGCAGCCCAAGUCCGCCCCUCCUCAUAGAUCAUGCCGAGCACCACCGUGAUGGAAGGAGAAGCAUUGUCAAAAGAUGAUUGCAUUGCGGCGCUUCUAGAUUUCUCUGCACACGAGAAGAGUGAGAGUAUGCAGGUCCUUCCUCAUCGGAGGUGUUGUCUACAAUGAAGCUGUUCACGACAGGAGACGAUCUAUUCCUUGUGGUGCCCAAGCCUUGAUACCCCACGCUGACACCGGAUGCCAGACGACACUUGCGAAACCGCAGGCAACAAACAGAUGAUCAAUGGUUUCCGGCAGUUGAGCGCAUAGCGGGCAAACAUCCUGAUGUGGCAAUCCCCGCCUCGCCACCUGAUCAGAGGUCCAACACCUAUUCUUAAAAGCAAGCUACGCAAACAACUUGCAAUGCAACGGAGCCCGGCAUUCCCAAACCAUCCUUGCUGCAAGGUCAUGUUCACGAACGUCAAAAUGACUCGCAUAAGCUGACUUGGUCGAAUAUUUUCCAGAAGCCUCCCAAGCCUAGCGCACUACAUCAUCCACAUCGUGUCUAAGUUCCACGCCUGACACCAGGUGCCACAGCUGCAAGUAAUCCCCAAUCUCCUCAGCACUGAGAUCCAACCAAAUACCUCUCGGCCAAAGUCCAGCUAGGGCCUCAUCCACUGUCCUGGAGCUCCUUACUCUGGGACAUAUGCGCACAUAAAGUAUUGGGGCGAUCUCCUGAACUCUCUUCCCAGAAGCAUGUCCCUCUUCCAUUCCCUACAUCAACAAAAACUGCCGCUCGAUAAACUGCCAAGUAUUUUGCCGAAAUACUGAUGUCAAACUCCGCCCACGGCCUCUCCCUGUCAACCCUCCGUAGCCACAACGAUAUAACCCUUAAUGUUGUAUUCAUCCAACACAAGUCAUGUAACCCUAGGCCACUAGUCCACUUAGGUGUGCAGACGAUGUUCCAGGCAACCAUGCACUACCCACCAUUCGCCGCCGAGCUCCCUGCCCAGAGGAAGCCUCUAAAGAUUUUAUUUAUGGCGGCAAGCACCUCCGCCUUAUUGAUGGGGACUUUGGAGUCAACAUGUAUUAUAUCUGAAUUCAUGCUAUCCUCAUAUAAAUGCAUAGUUAAAACAUUAUUAGUAAACCAAAAACCUUGCAAAAUUAUUCAAAUGAGUUCUUAAAUUGGUGUUGUGAAAUAAAUGUGACCUAACAAUCGGCCUAGUAUUUAUCGUAGGCCCUCCAUGCCAUAAUAAACCCCUUUGAUUAAUUUCAAUUAUAUAGACUAAUUCUGAUAUUUGAAUAAAGUGAUAAUUGUUCAAAUUUAAAUAUUGAUAGAAUUAUAAAUUAUAUCGUAGGUGAUAAGUUCUUUGAUGAGAUUUCAUGAAAAUAAAUAUUUGAGGCUUUAUAUGGUAGUGAUUAGUUCUAGUAAAAUUUCGUCAAUUUUGAGGUCAUUUCACCUACUCACGUUUCAAAUCAAAACUUGGGGCAUCACUUAGUUUGACUGUAAAUGACAGUCAACUCAUCGGAUUUUUUUUGAAACUUUCAUAGUAAUUAGAAAUAACAUAUAUGAAACCUAUGGAUUUUUAUUGGAGUUUUAAGCCUUGAAAAUAAUGUAUUUAACUAUUUAAAAGAGUUGAGGAAUAAUAAGAAAAGGAAUAGAUUAAUACUUAUCCAAAACCCAAACCGGGCCUAAUCAGGCCAACUCGGCUUUUCUCCUCUUGAACGUUACCUAGGAAAAUAAACAAGGCGACAACGACAAGAGUUUGAGACGCGACUGAGAUCUCACGGGUUCCCUCACCUCUAGCCAUGCGCCAGAAGGCAGGGUGGGGUGGGGGGACCUUGGGUCCUCCUUGGAAUGUUCAGAAGUUUACGGUAGUAUAGACUUUAUGGUCGUUGUCGGCGAUAUUCACCCAGAGGGUGCAAUAAUGUUGAGAAUAAAAGCGCUCUGGUUCUUCCUUUGAUGCGCCGGCGCCUUACUAAACAUCACCAUAGAAUUAAUGAUAGAUAUUGUGUCUCCGCGGGUUUGGUCUUAUAGGUUUUGGGUUUAUGUUCUUGCAGAUGCAUCCAUGAGGAUUUGAUGAGCUUGUAUUAUUGUAUCUUCUGCUUUUGUUGGUAUGUUCUUUUGUGCCUUCUUGGAGUGCUUCUCAGGCUUUUUCAUGAAGAUUUUGUGUUCGACGACCUCUAAUCUCGUGGAUCAUCCUUGGCCCAAGUACAUUAAAUGCUCAACAAUUUCCACCUCUUUGGAUGGGAAACUGAAGGGGGCUUUUGAAAAUCUUGAAAGUUGGUCGAUUUUGUGUAGGUAUAUGGGGAGUGGUGCCGCUGCUCUUGUCUGGUUGUUGUACCGUUGUAGAAGCUUUUGAUAGUAUUUCCCAUGUUGCAGAUUGUUGUUACUUUGGAGGGGAUGAACACCACACAUCUUCAUUUGGUCUCGUAUAAGAAUCAUAUGUAAGUUAGUUAUGUUGUCUUUGCUGGUCAGAAAAUCAUCACUGGAUUCGGCAAAUUGACAUCGUCAAGUUUUUUUCCUUGCAUUUAGGAAAAAUUUACAACUGUGCCAUGUUGGUAUCAAAGACAUUAAUAAAACUUGCUAAUUUCCAGCAGCAACAUGCGGGCAAGAAACUACUCCCUCCGCAAGGAAAUAUAAGAGCAAAUAGUGAUCUAAACACUCUCAUAUUUCUUUACAGAUGGAGUAGUUUAUAAUCAUUAUAGAUAACAGCGAAUGUCAUAAAACUUAAGCUCAACACAUUAUUUUAUUGAUGAUUCGAUCAGUAAUCUGCUCGAUCUGUAUUAACGGCAACAGAUGGAGGUCGAACACAUGGAGAAAACAACAACGAACACACGCAGAGAGCAGCAACAGUAGACACCGAGUGGGCUAGCUAGCCUGGUGUGAUGAUGAUGCUGGUAGAUAACUUAGUGAAGGCUGCAAACACACAGACACAAAAGCUCAACGAUUAGUCGUACUAUUUAUAGUACUUACGAACUAAGAUAAAAUGGCUAAUGAGUACUUAAAAUAUAAUAUUUCAAGUU